GCGGUGAGUUGAGCAAGGGCUCGGCGAGCCUGAAUCCGAGAGGGAGACGGAGGCGGUGAGAGAUGAGGGAGUCUAGGAACAGAGGCGGCGAGGAGCCGUUGUUGGUGCCGGAGGUGGAGAGAGAGGUAGAUCGAGAGAGAUGGGAAAGGAGACGGCGAUGGUUUCACUGAAAUUUUUUAGAGAGAGGCGGAGCAAGAUGGUUGACUGGUGGCGGCGGUCGCCAUCGCUGUCGGAGAGAGAGAAGGGAGAACGGAGAUCAGAAGGAGCUGGUGGUGGCGGCUUAUCGCCGCUGCUCCUCCGGCGAGCUUCCGCGGCGGCGGAACUUCUGGGAAGAGAGCCGAGAGAGAUUGGAGAAGAAAGAGGCGCAGCUAUGACUCUGUGAAGGAGAAGUGGGGAAGGGUUUUGUGUUAGAAUAGGUUUGGGCUAAAGUCUUGGGCUGAAUCUUUAGAAGUGGGGCUAUUAAGGAGUUGGGCCAUUUUUAUUUAAGUUGUUGGGCUGAGUUUAUUUAAAGUAUUUGGGCCUUUGUUUUUUUAUUUAUGUGGGCUACGAAUUUUUAAGUAUUUGGCCCUUACAUUUAAUUAUUUUGGGCAGUCCACAUUUUAAUUAAUUUGACUAAUCACUAGUUGAUUAAUUAUUUUAAAG
This 642-nucleotide long non-coding RNA is filed under the name Salvia miltiorrhiza (redroot sage). RNAcentral describes it as "long non-coding RNA (SMIL_LNC013246)". Lineage: Eukaryota; Viridiplantae; Streptophyta; Magnoliopsida; Lamiales; Lamiaceae. The record is from RNAcentral.